RNAcentral lists this ribosomal RNA (785 nucleotides) under uncultured bacterium. RNAcentral describes it as "bacterial SSU rRNA". It matches the Rfam family "Bacterial small subunit ribosomal RNA", at positions 9 to 772 of the family's 1533-position model. The record is from RNAcentral.
GAGUUUGAUCCUGACUCAGAACGAACGCUGGCGGCGUGCCUAACACAUGCAAGUCCGACGUGAAAGGGGAGCAAUCCCCCGGUAGGGUGGCAAACGGGUGAGUAAGACAUGGGUGAUCUACCCUGGAGAUGGGGAUAUCCCUCCGAAAGGGGGGGCAAUACCGAAUAGAGUCCGGUUCCGUGAAGGGGACCGGGGAAAGGGAGGCCUCUGGAACAAGCUUCCGCUCCUGGAUGAGCCCAUGGCCCAUCAGCUAGUUGGUAGGGUAAAGGCCUACCAAGGCGACGACGGGUAGCUGGUCUGAGAGGACAACCAGCCACACUGGCACUGAGACACGGGCCAGACUCCUACGGGAGGCAGCAGUGAGGAAUAUUGCGCAAUGGGGGCAACCCUGACGCAGCAACGCCGCGUGUGGGAAGAAGGCUUUCGGGUUGUAAACCACUUUUGCCCGGGACGAAAAGGGGCGUCAGAAUACGGCGCUUCGAUGACGGUACCGGGAGAAUAAGCCACGGCUAACUCUGUGCCAGCAGCCGCAGUAAGACAGAGGUGGCAAGCGUUGUUCGGAGUUACUGGGCGUAAAGAGUCUGUAGGUGGUUUGUCAAGUCUUUGGUGAAAGGCCGUGGCUUAACCAUGGGAAUGCCAAAGAGACUGGCAGACUGGAGGCUGGGAGAGGGAAGCGGAAUUUCUGGUGUAGCGGUGAAAUGCGUAGAUAUCAGAAGGAAGGCCGGUGGCGAAGGCGGCUUCCUGGAACAGGCCUGACACUGAGAGACGAAAGCGUGGGGAGCAAA